RNAcentral lists this ribosomal RNA (293 nucleotides) under uncultured bacterium. RNAcentral describes it as "partial 16S ribosomal RNA". It matches the Rfam family "Bacterial small subunit ribosomal RNA", at positions 505 to 796 of the family's 1533-position model. The record is from RNAcentral.
GUGUCAGCCGCCGCGGUAAUACGUAGGGGGCGAGCGUUAUCCGGAUUCACUGGGCGUAAAGGGCGCGUAGGCGGUUCCGUAAGUCAGGCGUGAAAGCUCACGGCUCAACUGUGGACGUGCGUCUGAUACUGCGGUGACUUGAGGUCGGUAGAGGUAAGUGGAACUAGCGGUGUAGCGGUGAAAUGCGCAGAUAUCGCUAGGAACGCCGGUGGCGAAGGCGACUUGCUGGGCCGUACCUGACGCUGAUGCGCGAAAGCUAGGGGAGCGAACCGGAUUAGAAACCCUCGUAGUCC